GAGCUCGCGUCAACCACCGCAGUCAUGCCACCGCCGACACCACCAGCGCCUUCACCGCGCACCGUCUACGAUAUUGUGAAGUCACACAUACAGCUUCCAAUCAACCGCGACUACAAUGCCCUGAAGCGCGUGCUGCGCGAUUGGCUGGCGUACAGCACGCACACGCCGUUGCAGGAGAAGCCGACCUUCGCAGCGGAGCUAGUCAUCACCAUUACCCGCAUGCCGCCCGCGUCUCUGAGUACCAUCACACAGGUUGCAGGUAGCAUCAGCGGAGCUGCGGUCGGCGAGGCGCGUUCAGCGCGACGAGGAGGGCGUUGGUGGCCUUUGUCGGGCACGCGCGAGGGUCGCGAUGGCGCUGGCGACCCUGCGUUGGCCGCGAAGGUCGCCGGUGCUGCUUCAUCCUCUGCGCCCACCAUCCCUCCCUACGUGUACCGCAAGGUUGUGCCUCUCCACGUGUGGACUGCGGUGCUGCCGUGGGAAAUGCAGCGCGGGCUGUCCUUCAGUGAUCUGCAGCUGCCUCCGAGCGUGUCGUCGUCGCGUGGCGCCGAGUCAGGCUCGACUGCAUCCCCUGAAAAGACAGCGGCAGCGGCUGAUCCGCGCGCACCAUACGACAUACCAGUGCAGCCGCAGCAGCAGCGGCAGCAGGGGACAGCUGUGGAUGCUGAGGAAGAGGACCUGUAUGGGGUAGUCACGCCAUCUAUCGCCUCCCGCGAGGGCAACAGUGCGAGCGUGGCGACGGCGGCGCUGGCUCGCGCUCCGCUCGGUGCGGCGGCCACCGCCGCAGCAGCAGCAGCACCGACCUCCUCCUUGUCCAUCACACCCGCCGUGCCUGCGAUGUUGUUCCUCUCUGAUAUACGCUCUACCAAAGCCCACGGCAUCGGCUUCUGGAGUGGGGCGAUCCGUCAAGCCAUCGAUGUGCUCUUUGUUGGGCCGACGCUGCCUCGCUCAGUCGGUGGAGCCUCCGCGUCGUUUCGGAAACUUCGUCAACAGGACGGUAUGGCGCUGGUGAUGGAAAACAAAAUCUCCAGCGAGGUGCUUCAUCGCUUCUUCCCUCUGCAAGAGAUACGAUCUCCGUCGUCGUCCGCGGCGUCGGACUCGUCCGCCACCUUCUGCGUCCACUCCUUCGGGCACCUGGACCCACUGCCCCCGACACUCCACCCAUCGCGACUUGGAGUCGACGAUUGGCGGGAUGAAUAUCGCGGGUUGUCCUUCACCGUGGCGCCGGAUGCGCCGUACAACACUCCAGAGGAGGCACCACGGUAUGUCUUCGAGGUGCCACGUCACACACUGCGACCUGCCGUGGCGGCAGCACUGAAGGAGAGCCGAAACGCUCACCAAGAGCUACUGCCCGCCCGCGAUGCACGAGGCCGUGCUCACGGCAAAGCCGCGACGCCCAUUCACGAUUGCGAUGCGACCGGCAGCAAACUAUGUGAGCAGGCGGACGAUGACGUCUCCAUCGACCUUGUCGUGAACCUGUCGCAGCAGCUGCGCGCUGACCUCUUCGCCAAGGCGCAGCUGUGCGUGGAGUACGUGUCGUUGCUGGAGGAGGCUGUUGCCCACUAUACGCGCACACUCAGCACGGGCACUGCAGCCGCUGCAGAAGUACCACUGGACGAAAGGCCUCCUAAUCACGCGGACGCUGGCGCGGGAGCUGGAGCAGGGAGUGGAAGACGCAUGAAGGUGUGGCUGUCCGAGCACGAGUUCCGUUGGAUGACGCCAGAGGAGCUGAAGCAGGCCUCUGAAGCUGAAGCGGCGACCAAGCAGCAGGCUCAGACGAGCUCCUUGAUGCAUGUAGACGAGGAAAGCGUCUUUCAAGAAUCACGCAAAGAAGCUGCCGCCAUGACGCAAAUGAAAGACAAUGGCGUCGCUGUUGUCGGCGCGGCUGCUGAAGCAACGCUGCGCGGCAACGCCGCCAGCGCCGUGGCGGCACAGCCAGCUCGGCCGGAGGCCGUCAGCGCGGCUCGCAGCAUCAGUCUGCAGUCGCCCAUCCUGCGGGAUGAGGAAGAAGGCCGCCCUUCGUAUCUCGCUCCGUCGUUUGUGGGCCGUCACGAGGCACCCGUCCUUCAGAGCAGCGCCGUUGUGCUGAGCGCUGACAAGCUCGCGCGCUACCCCCGCACGCAUUCCCACAUGCAGGAGCUGCCGCCAGUAGACUAUGAGUUGUACGAGCUGUGCAUGCGUCUUGGGGUUGGGCAGCAGUCGGUCCUGUAUCACUACCACGAGCGCAUCCUGCACGAGUGGCGUCGUGAGUUGCACCGCCUGCGGCAGCAGCAGACUUGCGGUGCACCCGAGCCUCCCCACGUAACAGCCCCGUCACGCUUGGCUAAGGAAGAUGUGCAGCGCAUGGUGGGCCUCGUGCGAGACCGAAGCCUGCAACUGCCCUCCGACAUGGUCUCUCUCGUGGAGGCCGUGGCAGCGGCGAUGUGAUGCGGUGAAACAAGCAGUGGAAGGUGGCUGAAGCCCUCACCUCGCCCCCCCCCCACUCUGCCUCUCCCCUUCUCUCGGGCAUCAUUGUCGCCCACACAGCAGGACACCCAUGGCUGCUGCCGCUCGCGCGCCCACCAGCCUCCAUCCUCCCACCCCUUCUCGCCAGCAACGUCUGGACAUGUGGCUGUGUGGCAUGUGUUUGACGACGCCAUGAAGUGUGUGUGUGUGCCCGCGCGUGUAUGCGUCCACCUGAGUACCCUCCUCACACAUAAUAUGCGAAGAAGAGAAC
Molecule: unclassified non-coding RNA, 2713 nt
Filed under: Leishmania donovani
Lineage: Eukaryota; Euglenozoa; Kinetoplastea; Trypanosomatida; Trypanosomatidae
Description: gene:LdHU3.17.1250(CDS-product:hypothetical_prote in_conserved)
Source: RNAcentral